ACGCUGGCUACAGGCUUAACACAUGCAAGUCGUGGGGAAACGGCAUUAUGUGCUUGCACAUUCUGGACGUCGACCGGCGCACGGGUGAGUAUCGCGUAUCCAACCUGCCCCUUACUUGGGGAUACCCCGUUGAAAGACGGCCUAAUACCCGAUGUGUUUCAUUGACGGCAUCCGAUAUGAAACAAAGGUUUUUCCGGUAAGGGAUGGGGAUGCGUCUGAUUAGCUAGUUGGCGGGGCAACGGCCCACCAAGGCGACGAUCAGUAGGGGUUCUGAGAGGAAGGUCCCCCACAUUGGAACUGAGACACGGUCCAAACUCCUACGGGAGGCAGCAGUGAGGAAUAUUGGUCAAUGGACGCAAGUCUGAACCAGCCAAGUAGCGUGCAGGAUGACGGCCCUAUGGGUUGUAAACUGCUUUUAUGUGGGAAUAAAGUGGCGCACGUGUGCGCCAUUGCAUGUACCUCAUGAAUAAGGACCGGCUAAUUCCGUGCCAGCAGCCGCGGUAAUACGGAAGGUCCGGGCGUUAUCCGGAUUUAUUGGGUUUAAAGGGAGUGUAGGCGGUCUGUUAAGCGUGUUGUGAAAUUUAGGUGCUCAACAUUUAACUUGCAGCGCGAACUGUCAGACUUGAGUACACGCAGCGCAGGCGGAAUUCAUGGUGUAGCGGUGAAAUGCUUAGAUAUCAUGAGGAACUCCGAUCGCGAAGGCAGCCUGCGGGAGUGUUACUGACGCUUAAGCUCGAAGGUGCGGGUAUCGAACAGGAUUAGAUACCCUGGUAGUCCGCACUGUAAACGAUGGAUGCCCGCCGUUGGCGCCCUGCGCCUGCGGCCAAGCGAAAGCAUUAAGCAUCCCACCUGGGGAGUACGCCGGCAACGGUGAAACUCAAAGGAAUUGACGGGGGCCCGCACAAGCGG
RNAcentral lists this ribosomal RNA (909 nucleotides) under uncultured bacterium. RNAcentral's name for it is "bacterial SSU rRNA". It matches the Rfam family "Bacterial small subunit ribosomal RNA", at positions 33 to 932 of the family's 1533-position model. The record is from RNAcentral.